Boleophthalmus pectinirostris (great blue-spotted mudskipper) is the source of this 1570-nucleotide long non-coding RNA. RefSeq lists it as uncharacterized. Lineage: Eukaryota; Metazoa; Chordata; Actinopteri; Gobiiformes; Gobiidae. The record is from RefSeq and is a predicted model, not a curated record. The transcript has 3 exons.
CUGACAGUGACUGCUAGAAGUCAUCUCAGUUUGACAGAGGCCAGCUCCUAUCCACAUCCAUUAGAGGCUAUUGAGUAGAAAGUAUCUGAAGUACUUGUUGUUGAUUCAGCUUGUUCCUGUGUGUAAUCAGAGCUUCCAAUAGCAAUCACAGUAUAGUCAAAGCUGCCUCGUCCACAUAUUUGGAGAUGCUCGCGUUGUGGCGCCGUAAAACGAGAUUUCCGCCCAAACACAUUGGCAACAAAAACAGAGAGCGUUGCCAGCGCACUGCAGUACCGACUGUUGGCGGUGAAACGUUCGGGGGAAGAGUGCUGCAUUGCUGCGGCACAACUGGCAGCGUGCCUUUACUUCAAACCCCCCCUACUGGUGAAAACAGGGUCCCACUGUGUCUCGUCCAAAACCUGAUGUAAAUAAAUAAUGGAGUAAAGUGUGUGGGAGGGGAUGAGGUCAGCGAAAUCACUAGGACCUGCAAACAUAGCAACUGCCAUUCGGAUCCUGCAUUCUCACUUUCUCUGGGGCUAUUUUGGCCUGCGGGCAGUUAACAAAAUGUAAUAUUAAAGGUGCACUGCGUAACUUUUCGAGUUGGAGGUCUGCCACCAUGGAGAUGCUAUUGCUGUGCCUGUAUAUGGUAUUAAAUGUAUGUAAGUUGCAUUUAUUCAGUUAUGACUGUGAGUGGGGUCACCGCUUCAGAAAAUUGGCCUGGUGGCGUCUUCUGCUUGUCUCUGUGGAGAUUGAUAAGUUUAAUGCCAUACUUUGGAACAUUGCAGGCGAAGCAAUAACAUUUCCAUGGACACAAGCAAGUAACAGGCCCUCCACCAGGAAAGUUACACAAUAAACCUUUAACUCUUGCCAUCAAAACACUACUACUGCUUAAUUUUUUGUGCAGUCCUGCUCCAUCACUUACUAGUAUUCUACUCCACUGUGGGAUGAAGCUGGGAGAGUACCACAGAACUUGGCCAAAACAUUCAGGGACAAUCAGGCAAAGUUAAACAGAUUCAUUAGGGAAAAUUAGGUUUUACAAGUCGUUGAACAGUGACGCAAAAUGCACAUAGACUUGGCUGACUCAAUCUCAUUGCAACACGAGAGCACUCAAGGGAGAAGAUUAUAUUAAAGGUGCAUUGUGUAACUUUUCUGGUGGAGGAUUCAUCAGUUGCUUUUUCGCCAUGGAGAUGGGUUAGUUAUUGCUUUGUCUGGAAUGUUUCACUGUAUGGUAUUAAACCUUUCUAUCUUUACAGAGAGCAAACUGGACCAAUUACAGCUUAGAUCUGUGGAGAGGCAACCCCGCUCACAGUGAGAAUGCCUGUUUUUCUAGGUAUUUUUGAGCUGUAAAACCACCUGUAAGUGAAUAAAUGUAAGGCAGAGCUGUUUAAUGUCAUACUGUGGAACAUUCCAGGCAGAGCAAUGACAUCUCCAUAGAAACAAGCAGGUGACAGAACCCAACCACAAAAUUAAACAGUGCACAGUGCAGUUUUUGUCAUUUUAGAGGAUCCAGAUAAUACACCAGUGUUGUAAGGACUGUAACUUGUUUUUAUUUUACAACAAGACAGACUUUGAACAUUUAAAGUCAUUCCAU